Molecule: unclassified non-coding RNA, 167 nt
Filed under: uncultured Oidiodendron
Lineage: Eukaryota; Fungi; Ascomycota; Leotiomycetes; Myxotrichaceae
Description: sequence contains ITS1
Source: RNAcentral
CCGAGUUCUCACCCGUGCGGGUAGACCUCCCACCCACUGCUAUCGCUACCGUGUUGCUUUGGCGGGCCGCUAGGCCCUGCCUGGCCGCUGGCCCCGGCUGGCGCGCGCCCGCCAGAGGCUCCGCAAACUCUGAACGUUAGUGUCGUCUGAGGGAUUUAUAACAGUGA